GGAGGCUUCGCCUAGUCUGGUCUAUGGCGCCGCACUGCUAAUGCGGUUUGGGUUAGCGCCCAUCCGGGGUUCAAAUCCCCGAGCCUCCG
RNAcentral lists this transfer RNA (89 nucleotides) under Natronosporangium hydrolyticum. It matches the Rfam family "tRNA". From Rfam's summary of the family: Transfer RNA (tRNA) molecules are approximately 80 nucleotides in length. Lineage: Bacteria; Bacillati; Actinomycetota; Actinomycetes; Micromonosporales; Micromonosporaceae. The record is from Rfam by way of RNAcentral.